RNAcentral lists this ribosomal RNA (914 nucleotides) under uncultured archaeon. RNAcentral describes it as "bacterial SSU rRNA". It matches the Rfam family "Archaeal small subunit ribosomal RNA", at positions 1 to 922 of the family's 1478-position model. The record is from RNAcentral.
UUUCGGUUGAUCCUGCCGGAGGCCAUUGCUAUCGGUGUCCGAUUUAGCCAUGCGAGUUGUACGUCUAACGUAGCAAACGGCUCAGUAACACGUGGCCAAGCUACCCUGUGGACCGCCAUAACCUCGGGAAACUGAGGCUAAUAGCGGAUAUCGCUCUCACGCUGGAAUGCGGAGAGCGUGAAAGGCUCCGGCGCCACAGGAUGCGGCUGCGGCCGAUUAGGUAGACGGUGGGGUAACGGCCCACCGUGCCGAUAAUCGGUACGGGUUGUGAGAGCAAGAGCCCGGAGACGGACUCUGAGACAAGAGUCCGGGCCCUACGGGGCGCAGCAGGCGCGAAACCUUCACACUGCACGCCAGUGCGAUAGGGGGACACCGAGUGCGAGGGCAUAGAGCCCUCGCUUUUGUGUACCGUAAGGUGGUACACGAAUAAGGGCUGGGCAAGACCGGUGCCAGCCGCCGCGGUAACACCGGCAGCCCAAGUGAUGGCCGCUAUUAUUGGGCCUAAAGCGUCCGUAGCCGGCCGGGCAGGUCCGUCGGGAAAUCCAUCCGCUCAACGGAUGGGCGUCCGGCGGAAACCGCUCGGCUUGGGACCGGGAGACCAGAGGGGUACGUCCGGGGUAGGAGUGAAAUCCCGUAAUCCUGGACGGACCACCGGUGGCGAAAGCGCCUCUGGAGAACGGAUCCGACGGUGAGGGACGAGAGCUAGGGUCUCGAACCGGAUUAGAUACCCGGGUAGUCCUAGCCGUAAACGAUGCUCGCUAGGUGUGGCGCAGGCUACGAGCCUGCGCUGUGCCGUAGGGAAGCCGUGAAGCGAGCCGCCUGGGAAGUACGUCCGCAAGGAUGAAACUUAAAGGAAUUGGCGGGGGAGCACUACAACCGGAGGAGCCUGCGGUUUAAUUGGAUUCAACGCCGGA